UACAGAGGUCCCGAGCGUUGUUCGGAUUCAUUGGGCGUAAAGGGUGCGUAGGCGGCGGGGCAAGUCUGAUGUGAAAUCCUGGGGCUCAACCCUGGAACUGCAUUGGAUACUGCCUUGCUAGAGUACUGGAGAGGAAACUGGAAUUUACGGUGUAGCAGUGAAAUGCGUAGAGAUCGUAGGGAAGACCAGUGGCGAAGGCGAGUUUCUGGACAGUUACUGACGCUGAGGCACGAAGGCCAGGGGAGCAAACGGG
This 253-nucleotide ribosomal RNA is filed under the name uncultured bacterium. Its description in RNAcentral is "partial 16S ribosomal RNA". It matches the Rfam family "Bacterial small subunit ribosomal RNA", at positions 524 to 776 of the family's 1533-position model. The record is from RNAcentral.